This is a long non-coding RNA of Pseudopipra pipra, 235 nucleotides long. RefSeq lists it as uncharacterized. The record is from RefSeq and is a predicted model, not a curated record. Lineage: Eukaryota; Metazoa; Chordata; Aves; Passeriformes; Pipridae. The transcript has 2 exons.
CCGUCAUACAGAGCAAGUCAAACUUUUCUCAUCUGUUGCCUUUUUAUUGAUGGAGCAUCCUAAUAGCACUGAGCAUCCUAAUAGCACUUUCUGACCUUAUUCUACUCUACCAUCUUGGAAAGAAACAGGAUGGAUCUAGGAAGCUCAGACUACAUGCAGUAAAAUCCACAGGACUGGAAUUACAUCAAUUUUGCAUUCAGCUCAGUAAAUGAAAACGUAUUUAUGCAGCCUGAAA